Molecule: ribosomal RNA, 497 nt
Filed under: uncultured bacterium
Lineage: Bacteria
Description: partial 16S ribosomal RNA
Rfam family: Bacterial small subunit ribosomal RNA
Source: RNAcentral
GAUGAACGCUGGCGGCGUGCCUAAUACAUGCAAGUCGAGCGGACAGACGAGGAGCUUGCUCCUCUGACGUUAGCGGCGGACGGGUGAGUCACACGUGGAUAACCUACCUAUAAGACUGGGAUAACUUCGGGAAACCGGAGCUAAUACCGGAUAAUAUAUUGAACCGCAUGGUUCAAUAGUGAAAGACGGUUUUGCUGUCACUUAUAGAUGGAUCCGCGCCGCAUUAGCUAGUUGGUAAGGUAACGGCUUACCAAGGCGACGAUGCGUAGCCGACCUGAGAGGGUGAUCGGCCACACUGGAACUGAGACACGGUCCAGACUCCUACGGGAGGCAGCAGUAGGGAAUCUUCCGCAAUGGGCGAAAGCCUGACGGAGCAACGCCGCGUGAGUGAUGAAGGUCUUCGGAUCGUAAAACUCUGUUAUUAGGGAAGAACAAAUGUGUAAGUAUCUAUGCACGUCUUGACGGUACCUAAUCAAAAAGCCACGGCUAACUACGUG